Molecule: ribosomal RNA, 318 nt
Filed under: Salmonella enterica
Lineage: Bacteria; Pseudomonadati; Pseudomonadota; Gammaproteobacteria; Enterobacterales; Enterobacteriaceae
Description: partial 23S ribosomal RNA
Rfam family: Bacterial large subunit ribosomal RNA
Source: RNAcentral
GGUUAAGCGACUAAGCGUACACGGUGGAUGCCCUGGCAGUCAGAGGCGAUGAAGGGCGUGCUAAUCUGCGAUAAGCGCCGGUAAGGUGAUAUGAACCGUUAUAACCGGCGAUACCCGAAUGGGGAAAGCAUGUGCUGUGAGCUCGAUGAGUAGGGCGGGACACGUGGUAUCCUGUCUGAAUAUGGGGGGACCAUCCUCCAAGGCUAAAUACUCCUGACUGACCGAUAGUGAACCAGUACCGUGAGGGAAAGGCGAAAAGAACCCCGGCGAGGGGAGUGAAAAAGAACCUGAAACCGUGUACGUACAAGCAGUGGGAGC